Molecule: transfer RNA, 67 nt
Filed under: Marmota monax (woodchuck)
Lineage: Eukaryota; Metazoa; Chordata; Mammalia; Rodentia; Sciuridae
Description: tRNA.Gly
Source: RNAcentral
GGUUAUGGCUCAGCGGUAGAGCACUUGCCUACCAUGUGGGAGGCCCUGGGUUCAAUCCUCAGCACCA